Vicugna pacos (alpaca) is the source of this 1416-nucleotide non-coding RNA. NCBI's taxonomy places the organism in Eukaryota, Metazoa, Chordata, Mammalia, Artiodactyla, Camelidae. The record is from RefSeq and is a predicted model, not a curated record.
UGGAAGAAAGAACCAACAUGCCUUGAGAGUCCUUGUUCCUGCCUAAGAGGAGUUUCUUUGGUUUCCAGGGUGCAGAGAGCUGCAGGCUAACAUGCCUUCCUGAUCGUGGCCAUUUGUGGCUGGAUUUGAUGCUUUCCUCUGGCCUGUUAAGAGACACUGAGCUGGGUGUGGAGGGCCAUCACUUGUCAUGAGAGUAUAACCCUAAAUGGGAGAGGGGUCCUCUCUAGUCUCCACUAUGGAGUGCAGUGCAGCACUGAACGCAGGACUCAGCGGGCAGGUGAGACUUGAACCAAUGGACAAAGAAGUUGCUGGUCAACCCAGUGGAGGUGGCAGCUGUGGCUGGCAGUGGGGGACAGAAGGACAUGCAGGGAAGUGGUAUAGCCACCAGAGGAAGCCGGAGCACCCAAAGGAAUGGUGGAAUUCAACAGAAGUGCAAACACAGAAGGAGGAGCACCUGGAGGAAAUGGAGGACGGAAGGUACAAUUUCGCUUAAAGGAUGUAAGGGAGACUAGAUGACCUCCAAACACGACUUUCUGCCCAGGACCCUGCGGCCUACACCGUGCACGGCGGACCCGCGGCACUGGAGGAGAGGUAAUGCCUUCUCUAUUCUAUUUAAAAUCCCACCGUACGCGGCCCCCACAGCAUUCUUCUACUUUCUCAGCAUUCUCUUUCUUGUCAUUUCCCACCAUCAUGUGAUAUUAAAACAGAAAAAAAAAAGAGUGAUUCUGUUAGGGAUGUGAAAGGGGAGUUUUUAAAGUGAAAAAAAUCAAAAGCAGACCAUGCUCCUUCUCAUAUGUCACUUGUUUGCUCACCCUCAGACCACUCCUGUACAUUAGUCCGUUUCAUUCUUUCUAUCAUGCCAUUUUUAGAAAGUUAAUGUUUCAUAUUUCUCAGAAAGGACUGUUUAAACCACCAGACAUCCCAGAUGCUUUGACAGUUGCUUCGAGCACUUCAAAAAGUUCUUGAGCGAAAACAUGGAUUGGAUCUUUGUAGGCUCCUCAGGGGGACAAGCAGUACCUCUUGCAUUGAUUAUAAUUUUCUGCCUCUAGAAUCCUUUCAUCUUCAUUAAUAGGAAGAGAAAUAUCGACUUGCAAAUACUUCCGAAGACUCAAAUAGUGAUGUUUUAAAUUCAGUCAAGAUAUAUGAGUCCCAAGACAAUGAAGUACCUAAGUAUGAUAUUAUCAAGUUAUAAAUGACCUGUUUUUCAUCACCACCUUGAAAAAAAGUUUAAAAAAAUGAACCUAUUUCCAAGUGGACCUCUAAAAUAGCACCAGCCAAGCAUGAGAUUGGGAUAAAGCAUUUCAUCAAAAUGUCCAUAGAUCAUUUCUUUUAGGUGUAGAUGAGUAUCUUGCAAGUUGCCACACAGUGCACAUUUUUAUAGUUGCAUUGGAGAGCAAUGUGAUAAUAUCUUGCUAG